GAUGAACGCUGGCGGCGUGCCUAAUACAUGCAAGUCGAGCGAACAGACGAGGAGCUUGCUCCUCUGACGUUAGCGGCGGACGGGUGAGUAACACGUGGAUAACCUACCUAUAAGACUGGGAUAACUUCGGGAAACCGGAGCUAAUACCGGCUCAUAUAUUGAGCCGCAUGGUUCAAUAGUGAAAGACGGUUUUGCUGUCACUUAUAGAUGGAUCCGCGCCGCAUUAGCUAGUUGGUAAGGUAACGGCUUACCAAGGCAACGAUGCGUAGCCGACCUGAGAGGGUGAUCGGCCACACUGGAACUGAGACACGGUCCAGACUCCUACGGGAGGCAGCAGUAGGGAAUCUUCCGCAAUGGGCGAAAGCCUGACGGAGCAACGCCGCGUGAGUGAUGAAGGUCUUCGGAUCGUAAAACUCUGUUAUUAGGGAAGAACAAAUGUGUAAGUAACUAUGCACGUCUUGACGGUACCUAAUCAGAAAGCCACGGCUAACUACGUG
RNAcentral lists this ribosomal RNA (497 nucleotides) under uncultured bacterium. RNAcentral describes it as "partial 16S ribosomal RNA". It matches the Rfam family "Bacterial small subunit ribosomal RNA", at positions 28 to 507 of the family's 1533-position model. The record is from RNAcentral.